RNAcentral lists this ribosomal RNA (549 nucleotides) under uncultured archaeon. RNAcentral describes it as "bacterial SSU rRNA". It matches the Rfam family "Archaeal small subunit ribosomal RNA", at positions 328 to 879 of the family's 1478-position model. The record is from RNAcentral.
GGGUGCAGCAGGCGCGAAAACUUUGCAAUAAGCGAAAGCUUGACAGGGCUAUCCCGAGUGCCAUCCGCUGAGGAAGGCUUUUACCCAGUCUAGAACGCUGGGGGAAUAAGGAGAGGGCAAGUCUGGUGUCAGCCGCCGCGAUAAUACCAGCUCUCCGAGUGGUGUGGAUGUUUAUUGGGCCUAAAGCAUCCGUAGCUGGCUAGGUCAGCCCCUUGUUAAAUCCACCGAAUUAAUCGUUGGAUUGCGGGGGAUACUGCUUGGCUAGGGGACGAGAGAGGCAGACGGUAUUUUCGGGGUAGGGGUGAAAUCCUAUAAUCCCGGGAAGACCACCAGUGGCGAAGGCUGUCUGCUAGAACGCGCCCGACGGUGAGGGAUGAAAGCUGGGGGAGCGAACCGGAUUAGAUACCCGGGUAGUCCCAGCUGUAAACGAUGCAGACUAAGUGUUUGGACGGCCACGUGCCGUUCUAGUGCCGCAGGGAAGCUGUUAAGUCUGCCGCCUGGGGAGUACGAUCGCAAGAUUGAAACUUAAAGGAAUUGGCGGGGGAGCAC